This 435-nucleotide ribosomal RNA is filed under the name uncultured bacterium. Its description in RNAcentral is "bacterial SSU rRNA". It matches the Rfam family "Bacterial small subunit ribosomal RNA", at positions 8 to 443 of the family's 1533-position model. The record is from RNAcentral.
AGAGUUUGAUCCUGGCUCAGGAUGAACGCUAGCGGGAGGCCUAAUACAUGCAAGUCGAACGGUAACAGAUCUUCGGAUGCUGACGAGUGGCGCACGGGUGAGUAACGCGUACAUAACCUACCUUUAACUGGGAGAUAGCCUUGGGAAACUGAGAAUAAUACCCCAUAACAUUAUGAUACCGCAUGGUAUUAUAAUUAAAGUGUUAGCGGUUAGAGAUGGAUGUGCGUGCCAUUAGAUUGUUGGUGAGGUAACGGCACACCAAGUCGACGAUGGCUAGGGGGCGUGAGAGCGUGAUCCCCCACACGGGUACUGAGACACGGACCCGACUCCUACGGGAGGCAGCAGUAAGGAAUAUUGGACAAUGGACGAAAGUCUGAUCCAGCCAUCCCGCUUGCAGGAUGACGGCCCUAUGGGUUGUAAACUGCUUUUAUAGAA